CGUGUUGCAGUGCCUGUGUAUACGAAGUGCAUAAUACAUAAUGUUGUUCAUUGUUUACGAUGGGAACAAGCACAAUGCUUAAUAUACUACAUGAUAAAUAUAUUAUGCUUAGAAAGGAGAUGUUAUCUGUAAGAAUUGACAAUGACGGUAAUCACGGUAUUACUUGAACUUGGAAGUAAUGCUGGAUGGGCGGGGCGGGCUCCCGCCGAACUUAGUCCGAAGAUCUGAAGCAGAUUAUAGUGUAGGACUGAUGGCAUCAGAAUCAAUCGUCUAGUGAAGUUUCUGUCUGCCGGUUGGGGAAGUGUCCAUGGAUGCGCAAUGCCGAGUUCCUGCCAAUAUUACAGCCUGGCCCUCGCUACAUUGUCAAAUGAAUUGCUGUGAAAACUGUGUGAGGCAGAGAGUCCGCCCGCGCC
This is a long non-coding RNA of Hyalella azteca, 413 nucleotides long. RefSeq lists it as uncharacterized. NCBI's taxonomy places the organism in Eukaryota, Metazoa, Arthropoda, Malacostraca, Amphipoda, Hyalellidae. The transcript is spliced from 3 exons. The record is from RefSeq and is a predicted model, not a curated record.